CACGGAAGGGGCAAGCGUUACUCGUACGGACUGGGUGUAAAGCGUUUGUAGGUGAAACCCCGACGGGGGGGUACCGGGUGAGAACCCCGCCGUGCCCCCCGCACCGGGUGGGGUCACCACCAAGUUCAACGUACUCUUGAUGGAGGGGUGGAAUCCACAGAGAUCAAUGGGGACGUUCCAACGCGAAAGCAUUGUAGCGGGGGUGUACCGCCACUGAAAAACGAAAGCGUGGGGAGCCAACCGG
Molecule: ribosomal RNA, 244 nt
Filed under: uncultured bacterium
Lineage: Bacteria
Description: partial 16S ribosomal RNA
Rfam family: Bacterial small subunit ribosomal RNA
Source: RNAcentral